AGGACGUCUACAUUAGAUACCCGGGUAGUCCCAGCCGUAAACUAUGCGCGUUAGGUGUAUCGGUGACCACGAGUUGCCGAGGUGCCGAAGGGAAACCGUGAAACGUGCCGCCUGGGAAGUACGGUCGCAAGGCUGAAACUUAAAGGAAUUGGCGGGGGAGCACCACAACGGGUGAAGCCUGCGGUUUAAUUGGACUCAACGUCGGGAAGCUCACCGGAUAAGACAGCGGAAUGAUUGCCGGGCUGAAGACUCUGCAUGACUAGCUG
Molecule: ribosomal RNA, 266 nt
Filed under: uncultured archaeon
Lineage: Archaea
Description: partial 16S ribosomal RNA
Rfam family: Archaeal small subunit ribosomal RNA
Source: RNAcentral